UGGAUAAAGAGAUAAGGAUUAAAGAACUGUACAAAAAGAAAGAAUUUACAGCAGAUGGGAGUAAGCUUUGGGCGAUUCCAUAUAUCAGAAUUGCAUUGAGAAUUACUAGAAGUGCACUGAAUUCUAUUUUGUUGAGAAUUACUUUAGAAAUUGAUUGCAAAGUGUAAUUCGUUCAUGAUUUAGAAAGUAGUAGGCGUCUGCUACAAUUCUGGUUGUUGAGCAUCUCAAUGUGUAUGUACAAGGAAUAGGUGAUUGUUGUCUGUUUACCCUCAUUUCUUACCUUUGAACUCAGCAGCGCGUUGAAGGAUGGGAGAAGAUGGUUAAAUUUCUGAUUUUGGUCCAUUUCGGCGCUACUUUUUUUAGGAACCAAGAAAAAUGUCUAAAGUUGUUUAUUCUGGUAACACAACCUUAAAUUCACGGAGUGUUCUAAGAUUAUUCUUUAACGUUUUCUCUUUGUCUUUUGUUUUCUCCCUUCUGAUUACCAUGUUGUUUUUAUAUAAGGUAAGCUUUCCAAUAUUUGAUGUUUUUUCUAUUGUAAGGUUGUUGCUUAUGCCAUUUUGGUGGUGCUAAAGAAGUAUUUGCACUUCGUGCUAAAAUUAUCAUCAUUUUACUAGAUUUUUGUGUAUAUGCUUGUGUUUUCCAGUUCAAGUUGAUGCAGCUAUGUGCUUAUACAACUCUCUCUGCCCCUUUGAUCUUUCCUUUUCAGGAUUAUGAUCCAGAAAUCCUAGGACGGCCCUUUUUAGUGAGGAUGCAAAUUAUGCAGAAAUAUGUGUAUCAUUUAAAACACAUAUAAAUACUCACAGGUUUCACGAAUUUGUUUGCAAGUAUUUUGGUUCGAAGUUGUGACCUUUGAUAAAGGCCACAAAUGGACCUUUUUGCUGAAGCAAUGGGAAUUUUAUUCUUGGAUGGGACGAACAAGUAUAUUUUAGUCAUUUACAACAAACUUCUUCAUGUAUCCCAACUCACUCUACAAUAAAGCACGUAUCGCUGUUUUAAAUGGUGUUUUAAAAGGCGUUUUCAGGGCGAGCCCUGGGGCGGGGCGUACCAAAAAUGCCCCGGGGCGAAAGUCUCCAAAGGCGUACGCCCAGCAAUUCGGGGCAUACGCCCGGGCGUUUGGGGCGAGUUUUUUUUUGUUGGGGUGUCUUGGGGCGUAAGCCCAGAAAACUUCUUCAAACUAAAACGAAAUUUGUUAAAUAAGUCCUUAAUAUAAUGCCCAAAUUCUCAAAAGCGAACAUGUAAUUACUCAAAUGUUUUAACAAGGAACUGGAGCAUUAAAUUUAAAAGUCAAGACCUUUUUUUAUUGCUAGAAUGCCUAAUAUAUAUUUUUUUCCAAUUAUUUAUCUUGUCUUCUACUAUCUAACGAGCAGUCACUUGUACUUGUAAGUAGCAUAUAAUAGAUUGUUCUAAUUAAUUUUUUUGUGGGGGUGGAGCAUAUAUAUAUAUCACUUUUUUAUAGUUUUCUUCAAUUUUUUAUGCUAUUUCACCUAUUUAAAAGUAUUUAUUAUAAUUAUAUCAUUUUAUAAAAUACUAAAAAUUAAAACCCCAUGGGGCUUACGCCUCAAUGAGGCAGACGUAAAACGCCCCGCCUUAUGCCCUCGCCUUUUAAAACACUGGUUUUAAAGAGUAGUGCUAGAGAUGACUGCUUCGCUCACUGAUUAUUGUAUUCAGUUUGUAGAAUCCAAAAUCAAGAUCCUCCCACCCAUUGAAGUUGACAUCUCUUCCUUCAUUUUCUCCUCUUUAUUUGGUAUGUAAGUUAUAAUUUUCUUACAUGCUUCAUUGGCAGCAUAAAAUCUCUCCCUGAACUUUUUCUUUAAGAAUUUUCUCCACAGGCAGCAAGUCUUGGAGGUUCUAAUAUUGAUCCCAUUGCUUGGGAAGAUAAAGAGUGCAAAGAAGAAUCAAGGUUCGUUGCUUUGGUGAGAAGCCACAUUAUACAACUCUCUAAGCCUUUCGAGGAGGAUGCUCUCAGACCAGGCAUCACUAUAAUGGUCCCAAGUUUGGUCUUGUGCUCUCCAUAUCUAAGGUAAUGUGAGAACUAAUUGUCAGAAAUUGUGUCCUGUGUACAAAUAUUUCUGUAAGGUUGAUAAUUGGUAACUCUAAAACCUUAUUUCUGAAAACUUUGGACUUGCUAGAUCUCUGAGAAAAGCUGGUAUCCAAGCAUGCUAUAGUCCUGGAUUAAUGAUCGAUCAAAGAAUCAAAGUCAUCAAACAAGCUAUGCAUGAAAGACUGCGAGAUAACAUUGUCAAUGGAGUGGAUCCAUAAAAUUUGUAUGAUCCAAAAGUGCAGAAAUAAGAGAGUGGAUGUCCAGGUGAGGCAUGUAAGGUCGACUCCAAUUGUUAAGAACCAGAUUUUGUCCAAUUGUGGCACAAUUCUUGUAUUAGGACCACCAACAUGAGCAUGAACAACUGUUUUUGUCUCUCAUUAGCAAGCUCUAGAAUGUAAAUGAAUGUAAUAGUGCGAAGCAUCCUAUGUAAUAUUUAUUAGCUUGAU
Lycium barbarum (goji berry) is the source of this 2487-nucleotide long non-coding RNA. RefSeq lists it as uncharacterized. The record is from RefSeq and is a predicted model, not a curated record. The transcript is spliced from 6 exons. NCBI's taxonomy places the organism in Eukaryota, Viridiplantae, Streptophyta, Magnoliopsida, Solanales, Solanaceae.